Molecule: unclassified non-coding RNA, 230 nt
Filed under: plant metagenome
Description: partial contains small subunit ribosomal RNA, internal transcribed spacer 1, and 5.8S ribosomal RNA
Source: RNAcentral
UCUCCGUAGGUGAACCUGCGGAGGGAUCAUUACCGAGCUCAUGCCCUUACGGUUAUAUCUUCCACCCUGUGUUAUUAUUACCUUUGUUGCUUUGGCGGGCCGCCAGGCUCCGGUCAGGCUAUCGGCUUCCGAUGGUAAGCGCCCGACAGAGGACCCUAUAUCCUGAUUAUUAGUGUCGUCUUAGUACUAUAUAGUAGUUAAAACUUUCAACAACGGAUCUCUUGGUUCUG